UACUCUCUCAUUAUUAUUAAUGCUAGCCAACAUCAUAUCAUUGUGAGGUGGACUUGGUAGUAGUGAGUCUCCCAUACCCUACUAAGAGUUUCAUCCAAAACUCUCGAAUUCCAAUGAGGGAUAUGGAAUUUGCCAAAAAUAGUGGGUGGUGCUAUUUGAUUUAAAGACCCGAAUCAAAUGGCUUAAAAUCAAUCAAUUUAUAUUCGUUAUGUAUUUACUUACCAUUAUAUUUGCAAACGUUAUCCCACACUUGACAAAUAAAAGCCGAAUGCUUUAGUUUCCGGACUUGGUACAACAAUCCCAAAAAUUGUCUUAAAUGGAUUGUAGAAGUACCUAAGUAGUCUCAUCCUCACAAUCUUCCUAUUAAUAAUGUAUCAUUGGAAGAACAUGUUAGAUAAAGUCUAUCAUAAAGAGGACAACAUUUUUAAUGUCAUAAUUCUUCAAUUACAAUUUGUUGUAUGAAGAAAUAAGAGUUGCUUUGAACAACCCUUAAUCAAUGCAAACAUUAGUGCUUGUUUCUUUGUUACAUGAACAAGGAACUUUAGAAGAAAGCACAAAGGCAUGGACACUUAAUGUGUCAUGAUUCUUCACUUACAAAUUGUUGUAUGAAGAAAUGAGAGUUGCCUUGUACAACUCUUGAAAGUUUGUAAUUAUGUUUAGAACAUAAUGGUUGGUUGACAAAAAUAGUCCAUCAACAUGGACUUAUGAUGAUUUUUGAAUCAUUGAGUGUUGAAGUGAUAAACCACUUAACGAGACGGAAACUAGGCAAGGACUUCACCUUUAUGUCCCUAUCCUAAUGGUUCACUAAGUUUAUUGUAAACUGUAUGGUGAACAAUAAACACAUACUCCCCAAAAUGUUUGAUGUGUAUAACACAAUUGAAAUAAGUUUCAAGAGAGAUAGUGGGAGUUUAGGGACCAUGACUAAUGUAGUCAAAGGUGAAAGUCAAAUAAAGAAGAUAAAAAUAACUCCAAGGGAACAAACUUUCUUUAUGAAAGGAUGGACAUUGGAAGGGGUAUUUGCUAGAAAUGUCUUGCAAGUGUCAAGAACACACCUUUCGAAGGUGUUGUAAAUUGUUCUUGAAUA
Molecule: long non-coding RNA, 1084 nt
Filed under: Malus domestica (apple)
Lineage: Eukaryota; Viridiplantae; Streptophyta; Magnoliopsida; Rosales; Rosaceae
Description: long non-coding RNA (MDOM_LNC009320)
Source: RNAcentral